Molecule: unclassified non-coding RNA, 201 nt
Filed under: Hevea brasiliensis (rubber tree)
Lineage: Eukaryota; Viridiplantae; Streptophyta; Magnoliopsida; Malpighiales; Euphorbiaceae
Source: RNAcentral
AUAUAAUGGAGUAUGAUACAAAAUAGAGUUGUAACUUCCUCAGCUUUGCAUAAAUGUCAACCACUUCUUAAAGCUGAAUAACUGAAAAGUUAUUAUUGUCAAGAAGAAUAUGCUUUGUGAAUUGACGAGCAAUAUUUCUAAAGAGCAACAAAAAUGCGUGAAGUGGAUCAGUACUUACUCCCACGGAACAUCACCAACAAG